UACGUACCGCCAACGACCGUG
RNAcentral lists this non-coding RNA (21 nucleotides) under Arabidopsis thaliana (thale cress). Lineage: Eukaryota; Viridiplantae; Streptophyta; Magnoliopsida; Brassicales; Brassicaceae. The record is from RNAcentral.